Molecule: ribosomal RNA, 691 nt
Filed under: bacterium MS-AsIII-27
Lineage: Bacteria
Description: bacterial SSU rRNA
Rfam family: Bacterial small subunit ribosomal RNA
Source: RNAcentral
AUACAUCGGAAUCUACCUUUUCGUGGGGGAUAACGUAGGGAAACUUACGCUAAUACCGCAUACGACCUACGGGUGAAAGUGGGGGACCGCAGCUCACGCGAUUAGAUGAGCCGAUGUCCGAUUAGCUAGUUGGCGGGGUAAUGGCCCACCAAGGCGACGAUCGGUAGCUGGUCUGAGAGGAUGAUCAGCCACACUGGAACUGAGACACGGUCCAGACUCCUACGGGAGGCAGCAGUGGGGAAUAUUGGACAAUGGGCGCAAGCCUGAUCCAGCCAUACCGCGUGGGUGAAGAAGGCCUUCGGGUUGUAAAGCCCUUUUGUUGGGAAAGAAAUCCUGUCGAUUAAUACUCGGUGGGGAUGACGGUACCCAAAGAAUAAGCACCGGCUAACUUCGUGCCAGCAGCCGCGGUAAUACGAAGGGUGCAAGCGUUACUCGGAAUUACUGGGCGUAAAGCGUGCGUAGGUGGUGGUUUAAGUCUGCUGUGAAAGCCCUGGGCUCAACCUGGGAAUUGCAGUGGAUACUGGAUUACUAGAGUGUGGUAGAGGGAUUGCGGAAUUUCUGGUGUAGCAGUGAAAUGCGUAGAGAUCAGAAGGAACAUUCGUGCGAAGCGCAUCCUGGCCAACACUGACACUGAGGCACGAAAGCGUGGGGAGCAAACAGGAUUAGAUACCUGGUAGUCCACGCCCUAAAC